Molecule: small RNA, 109 nt
Filed under: Enterobacter cloacae
Lineage: Bacteria; Pseudomonadati; Pseudomonadota; Gammaproteobacteria; Enterobacterales; Enterobacteriaceae
Description: ArcZ RNA
Rfam family: ArcZ RNA
About the family: This RNA was discovered in E. coli during a large scale screen.
Source: RNAcentral
GUGCGGCCUAAAUUUUUCAGGCAGCGCCCUUUCGAAAAUAACUUUAAAAAAACAGGCGCAGCCACGAUUUCCCUGGUGUUGGCGCAGUAUUCGCGCACCCCGGUUAAGC